This 85-nucleotide transfer RNA is filed under the name Felis catus (domestic cat). It matches the Rfam family "tRNA". Rfam says of the family: Transfer RNA (tRNA) molecules are approximately 80 nucleotides in length. Lineage: Eukaryota; Metazoa; Chordata; Mammalia; Carnivora; Felidae. The record is from Rfam by way of RNAcentral.
GCCCGGGUGGCUCAGUCGGUUGAGCGUCCGACUUCGGCUCAGGUCAUGAUCUCGCGGUCCGUGGGUUCGAGCCCCGUGUCGGGCU